UACGUAGGGUGCAAGCGUUGUCCGGAAUUAUUGGGCGUAAAGAGCUCGUAGGCGGUUUGUCGCGUCUGCUGUGAAAACUCGGGGCUUAACCCCGGGCCUGCAGUGGGUACGGGCAGACUAGAGUGCGGUAGGGGAGACUGGAAUUCCUGGUGUAGCGGUGAAAUGCGCAGAUAUCAGGAGGAACACCCAUAGCGAAGGCAGCUUGCUGGGACGUUACUGACGCUAAGGCGCGAAAGCGUGGGGAGCGAACAGG
RNAcentral lists this ribosomal RNA (253 nucleotides) under uncultured bacterium. Its description in RNAcentral is "partial 16S ribosomal RNA". It matches the Rfam family "Bacterial small subunit ribosomal RNA", at positions 524 to 776 of the family's 1533-position model. The record is from RNAcentral.